CAGUAGCCGCGGUAAUACGGAGGGUGCAAGCGUUAAUCGGAAUUACUGGGCGUAAAGCGCACGCAGGCGGUCUGUCAAGUCAGAUGUGAAAUCCCCGGGCUUAACCUGGGAACUGCAUUUGAAACUGGCAGGCUAGAGUCUUGUAGAGGGGGGUAGAAUUCCAGGUGUAGCGGUGAAAUGCGUAGAGAUCUGGAGGAAUACCGGUGGCGAAGGCGGCCCCCUGGACAAAGACUGACGCUCAGGUGCGAAAGCGUGGGGAGCAAACAGGAUUAGAUACCCCAGUAGUCCCUGUCUCUUAUAC
RNAcentral lists this ribosomal RNA (301 nucleotides) under uncultured bacterium. RNAcentral describes it as "partial 16S ribosomal RNA". It matches the Rfam family "Bacterial small subunit ribosomal RNA", at positions 509 to 807 of the family's 1533-position model. The record is from RNAcentral.